AUCCGUCUGUAACAUUUGGUGCAGUGCAGUAAGGAAAUAGCCUGAGGAAGAGCACUGCAGAGAGUGAGGUUUUGUCUGCUAAGAUAUUCUGUUCUGUUACAGUCCGUCUGUAACAUUUGGUGCAGUGCAGGAAGGAAGUAGCUGGAAGAUGAGCACUGCAGAGAGUGAGGUUUUGUCUGCUAAGUUAUUCUGUUCUGUUACAAUCCGUCUGUAACAUUUGGUGCAGUGCAGUAAGGAAGUAGCUGGAGGAAGAGCACUGUAGAGAGUGAGGUUUUGUCUGCUAAGAUAUUCUGUUCUGUUACAGUCCAUCUGUAACAUUUGGUGCAGUGCAGUAAGGAAGUAGCUGGAGGAAGAGCACUGCAGAGAGUGAGGUUUUGUCUGCUAAGAUAUUCUGUUCUGUUACAGUCCAUCUGUAACAUUUGGUGCAGUGCAGUAAGGAAGUAGCUGGAGGAAGAGCACUGCAGAGAGUGAGGUUUUGUCUGCUAAGAUAUUCUGUUCUGUUACAGUCCAUCUGUAACAUUUGGUGCAGUGCAGUAAGGAAGUAGCUGG
Long non-coding RNA from Brienomyrus brachyistius, 549 nucleotides. RefSeq lists it as uncharacterized. The record is from RefSeq and is a predicted model, not a curated record. NCBI's taxonomy places the organism in Eukaryota, Metazoa, Chordata, Actinopteri, Osteoglossiformes, Mormyridae. The transcript is spliced from 3 exons.